Molecule: ribosomal RNA, 618 nt
Filed under: Streptomyces sp.
Lineage: Bacteria; Bacillati; Actinomycetota; Actinomycetes; Kitasatosporales; Streptomycetaceae
Description: bacterial SSU rRNA
Rfam family: Bacterial small subunit ribosomal RNA
Source: RNAcentral
CCGUUGCCGUCAGGGGGACGAAUGGUGGCCGGCCUGAGAGGGCGACCGGCCACACUGGGACUGAGACACGGCCCAGACUCCUACGGGAGGCAGCAGUGGGGAAUAUUGCACAAUGGGCGAAAGCCUGAUGCAGCGACGCCGCGUGAGGGAUGACGGCCUUCGGGUUGUAAACCUCUUUCAGCAGGGAAGAAGCGAAAGUGACGGUACCUGCAGAAGAAGCGCCGGCUAACUACGUGCCAGCAGCCGCGGUAAUACGUAGGGCGCAAGCGUUGUCCGGAAUUAUUGGGCGUAAAGAGCUCGUAGGCGGCUUGUCACGUCGGUUGUGAAAGCCCGGGGCUUAACCCCGGGUCUGCAGUCGAUACGGGCAGGCUAGAGUGUGGUAGGGGAGAUCGGAAUUCCUGGUGUAGCGGUGAAAUGCGCAGAUAUCAGGAGGAACACCGGUGGCGAAGGCGGAUCUCUGGGCCAUUACUGACGCUGAGGAGCGAAAGCGUGGGGAGCGAACAGGAUUAGAUACCCUGGUAGUCCACGCCGUAAACGUUGGGAACUAGGUGUUGGCGACAUUCCACGUCGUCGGUGCCGCAGCUAACGCAUUAAGUUCCCCGCCAGGGAAAUUACGGA